This 449-nucleotide ribosomal RNA is filed under the name uncultured bacterium. RNAcentral's name for it is "bacterial SSU rRNA". It matches the Rfam family "Bacterial small subunit ribosomal RNA", at positions 331 to 794 of the family's 1533-position model. The record is from RNAcentral.
CCAGACUCCUACGGGAGGCAGCAGUGGGGGAUAUUGGACAAUGGGGGAAACCCUGAUCCAGCGACGCCGCGUGAGUGAAGAAGUAUUUCGGUAUGUAAAGCUCUGUCAGCAGGGAAGAAAGAAAUGACGGUACCUGACCAAGAAGCCCCGGCUAACUACGUGCCAGCAGCCGCGGUAAUACGUAGGGGGCAAGCGUUAUCCGGAUUCACUGGGUGUAAAGGGAGCGUAGACGGCGACGCAAGUCUGGAGUGAAAGCCCGGGGCCCAACCCCGGGACUGCUCUGGAAACUGCGUCGCUGGAGUACGGGAGGGGCAGGCGGAAUUCCUGGUGUAGCGGUGAAAUGCGUAGAUAUUAGGAGGAACACCAGUGGCGAAGGCGGCCUACUGGACGGUGACUGACGCUGAGGCUCGAAAGCGUGGGGAGCAAACAGGAUUAGAUACCCGCGUAGU